AGAACGAACGCUGGCGGCAUGCCUAAUACAUGCAAGUCGAACGAACUCUUCGGAGUUAGUGGCGCACGGGUGCGUAACGCGUGGGAAUCUGCCCUUGGGUUCGGAAUAACAGUUGGAAACGACUGCUAAUACCGGAUGAUGACGAAAGUCCAAAGAUUUAUCGCCCAGGGAUGAGCCCGCGUAGGAUUAGCUAGUUGGUGAGGUAAAGGCUACACCAAGGCGACGAUCCGUUAGCUGGUCUAGAGAGGAUGAUCAGCCACGACGUGGGACUGGAGACGACCGGCCAGACCUCCGA
RNAcentral lists this ribosomal RNA (295 nucleotides) under uncultured soil bacterium. RNAcentral's name for it is "partial 16S ribosomal RNA". It matches the Rfam family "Bacterial small subunit ribosomal RNA", at positions 26 to 342 of the family's 1533-position model. The record is from RNAcentral.